AUUUUCAAUAUUAUCAAAUUCAUUUUAUUGACCACUUUAUUUAUUUAAAUCUAUCUUUCUUACUUUAAGAUUCCAUUAAUAAAUUUAUGUAAAGUUAAUAGUCAAAUGAGAUAUUAAAAAACUAAUACAGUUUUUAGGCCUAUAUAAUAGAAGUUAUGUUAGUCUUACUCGUUACAAAGAAACAAAAUAUAAAUUGAAAUCUUACAAAAUGGCAUGUCACACCAAUCAAUCUUGUUUUGAUGGUUAGUUCGGGAUUGGUUACCAGUAUUUUGGUCCCUCCCGGAGGAGUUUGUAUAGGGCCUUGUGUUGCAACGUGCGACCAGGAUUGCCGUGGCAAGGGAUUUGGAAAAGGGGGACAAUGUUAUACUCAUCUUGAGAAGACAACAUGUUGUUUUCACCAAAGAAUUUUAUUGUAUGAGUUCAAUAAAAAUAAUAAAACGGGCACUUCAGUUUAGCUCUGGAA
Long non-coding RNA from Lathyrus oleraceus (garden pea), 463 nucleotides. RefSeq lists it as uncharacterized. NCBI's taxonomy places the organism in Eukaryota, Viridiplantae, Streptophyta, Magnoliopsida, Fabales, Fabaceae. The record is from RefSeq and is a predicted model, not a curated record. The transcript has 2 exons.